This 825-nucleotide small RNA is filed under the name Pongo abelii (Sumatran orangutan). RNAcentral's name for it is "retained intron". The record is from RNAcentral. Lineage: Eukaryota; Metazoa; Chordata; Mammalia; Primates; Hominidae.
GCGCGGGGUAGAAGGUUAGGGGACCCGGCGGGCCACUCGGCACAGGCCGGGACAUGAACGCUUGGAAGUCUGGCUGGGAGCGGACCCAUGCUCGAAGGACCAAAGGAGCCGCGUGAUCGCUGGACCUGGCCCUGCGACCCCAGUCAUGGGCCAGACCUCGGUGUCCACGCUGUCCCCGCAGCCCGGCAGCGUUGACGGACUGGACAAAACUUCUAUAGCAAACUCAGAUGGCCCCACAGCAGGUUCCCAAACACCUCCCUUCAAAAGAAAGGGGAAACUAUCCACCAUUGGUAAAAUCUUUAAGCCUUGGAAAUGGAGGAAAAAGAAGACCAGCGACAAAUUUAGAGAAACCUCAGCAGUAUUAGAAAGGAAGAUAUCCACACGACAAAGUAGAGAGGAGCUGAUAAGAAGGGGAGUGCUUAAGGAAUUGCCUGAUCAAGAUGGAGAUGUAACAGUUAACUUUGAAAAUUCAAACGGGCACAUGAUACCCAUCGGAGAGGAAUCUACCCGAGAGGAAAAUGUAGUAAAGUCUGAAGAAGGUAAUGGCUCUGUAUCUGAAAAAACACCACCUCUGGAGGAAAAGGCAGAAGAUAAGAAAGGUAAAAUAAAGACAAACCCAUAUUAUUUACUUUAGCAUAUAGCUCAAUGUCUAGAACCAGCACUUAGGCUCCAACUAGUGACUCUAAAACCAGCAGUCUGCAGAGGAGAGGUUUACAAAUAGAAAAAAGAAAGAAAUGAUAGCUAGUAAAGUGAAAUCGGAUGAUUUUCUCAGGUAGAUGCAUCCAUUUUAUAAGCACAGUAUUUGUUUUUUCAAUUAUUAAAAAU